This 1554-nucleotide ribosomal RNA is filed under the name Klebsiella pneumoniae. RNAcentral's name for it is "bacterial SSU rRNA". It matches the Rfam family "Bacterial small subunit ribosomal RNA". The record is from RNAcentral. Lineage: Bacteria; Pseudomonadati; Pseudomonadota; Gammaproteobacteria; Enterobacterales; Enterobacteriaceae.
ACUUAAAUUGAAGAGUUUGAUCAUGGCUCAGAUUGAACGCUGGCGGCAGGCCUAACACAUGCAAGUCGAGCGGUAGCACAGAGAGCUUGCUCUCGGGUGACGAGCGGCGGACGGGUGAGUAAUGUCUGGGAAACUGCCUGAUGGAGGGGGAUAACUACUGGAAACGGUAGCUAAUACCGCAUAAUGUCGCAAGACCAAAGUGGGGGACCUUCGGGCCUCAUGCCAUCAGAUGUGCCCAGAUGGGAUUAGCUAGUAGGUGGGGUAACGGCUCACCUAGGCGACGAUCCCUAGCUGGUCUGAGAGGAUGACCAGCCACACUGGAACUGAGACACGGUCCAGACUCCUACGGGAGGCAGCAGUGGGGAAUAUUGCACAAUGGGCGCAAGCCUGAUGCAGCCAUGCCGCGUGUGUGAAGAAGGCCUUCGGGUUGUAAAGCACUUUCAGCGGGGAGGAAGGCGUUAAGGUUAAUAACCUUGGCGAUUGACGUUACCCGCAGAAGAAGCACCGGCUAACUCCGUGCCAGCAGCCGCGGUAAUACGGAGGGUGCAAGCGUUAAUCGGAAUUACUGGGCGUAAAGCGCACGCAGGCGGUCUGUCAAGUCGGAUGUGAAAUCCCCGGGCUCAACCUGGGAACUGCAUUCGAAACUGGCAGGCUAGAGUCUUGUAGAGGGGGGUAGAAUUCCAGGUGUAGCGGUGAAAUGCGUAGAGAUCUGGAGGAAUACCGGUGGCGAAGGCGGCCCCCUGGACAAAGACUGACGCUCAGGUGCGAAAGCGUGGGGAGCAAACAGGAUUAGAUACCCUGGUAGUCCACGCCGUAAACGAUGUCGAUUUGGAGGUUGUGCCCUUGAGGCGUGGCUUCCGGAGCUAACGCGUUAAAUCGACCGCCUGGGGAGUACGGCCGCAAGGUUAAAACUCAAAUGAAUUGACGGGGGCCCGCACAAGCGGUGGAGCAUGUGGUUUAAUUCGAUGCAACGCGAAGAACCUUACCUGGUCUUGACAUCCACAGAACUUAGCAGAGAUGCUUUGGUGCCUUCGGGAGCUGUGAGACAGGUGCUGCAUGGCUGUCGUCAGCUCGUGUUGUGAAAUGUUGGGUUAAGUCCCGCAACGAGCGCAACCCUUAUCCUUUGUUGCCAGCGGUCCGGCCGGGAACUCAAAGGAGACUGCCAGUGAUAAACUGGAGGAAGGUGGGGAUGACGUCAAGUCAUCAUGGCCCUUACGACCAGGGCUACACACGUGCUACAAUGGCAUAUACAAAGAGAAGCGACCUCGCGAGAGCAAGCGGACCUCAUAAAGUAUGUCGUAGUCCGGAUUGGAGUCUGCAACUCGACUCCAUGAAGUCGGAAUCGCUAGUAAUCGUAGAUCAGAAUGCUACGGUGAAUACGUUCCCGGGCCUUGUACACACCGCCCGUCACACCAUGGGAGUGGGUUGCAAAAGAAGUAGGUAGCUUAACCUUCGGGAGGGCGCUUACCACUUUGUGAUUCAUGACUGGGGUGAAGUCGUAACAAGGUAACCGUAGGGGAACCUGCGGUUGGAUCACCUCCUUACCUUAAAGAA